AAAGUUCUUGUUGUGAAUGAAUGUGUGAUUUAAAAAUAUAUAGACCGGAGCUUGCAAGAACCAUUUUGGAAGUCACUGGUUUAGAGUUGUGAACUUGUUUUUAUUAUUGUUGCUCAGGUUUGCCUCCAAUGAGUAAGAGGAAGGGAGGAGUGAAGUGCUCGAUGGAGACCAAGCAAGGAACCGUCUCAGCCGUGGGAGCUGGAGUUUCUGCGGCGGCUACAGCAGCUUUGACAGCUGUGAUGAGCAGCCCGGCUAUGGCUUUGGUGGACGACAGGAUGUCAACUGAGGGAACCGGCUUGCCCUUUGGACUUAGCAACAACCUCUUGGGAUGGAUUCUUUUGGGAGUGUUUGGUUUGAUCUGGACUUUCUACUUUACCUACACUUCUUCUCUGGACGAGGAUGAAGAAUCUGGUCUUUCACUCUAAACAUGAACUGUAUAUGUUCUUCAUCAGUGUCAUCUCUCUCCUUUUCCAUUUUCGUGUGAGGACAUGAACCAAACAGUGUUAUUCUGGUUACUUGUAAUUUAAGCAAACACCAAAAAAACUAUUUUUCAUGUGUACAUGUUUCACAAUCUGUAGAAUCAAAACACCUAAUACAUUUAAGAAACUUAAUUUUGUUUAUUAUAAUAAAAUCUGCAAGAAAAUAAAAACAUUAUAGUAGUUUAAAUUCUCUAAAUAAAUAUUAGAAAAACUCUUAGAUAUUAUUGAAAAAAGAUAAAACAAGAUGACGAACACAAGAAUCUUCUGGAGCUUUAUCCCACAUUAGUCCAAUUUCAUCGUUUGUUUUGUAAGCUUUUGCUCUAGCCAAAGGACUCCGUCCUCUCUUAAACAUGUACCUGCCUUGGUAUUUGAUUAAGACCACUUGGUGAUCCCGAAUUCUUGAUCGUAAUAUAAUCCAUGUCUGGAACUAUAGAAAUCUUCAACCUUUUGUUUUGGUGGAAAUAAAUCCCCUAUAUAUUAUUUGAGAAGCAUUACAACAUUUUUUGUAGCCACAUGUCAUCACUAGAAUGAUUCUUAGAAUCCUUACAGAAAUAGGUUGGUCCAUCUAAAUAUAAAAUAAGAUUUUUAUUAAAUUAACCAUAAAUACAUUAUUAAUGUGAUGCAUUACUUCCUUAAAUAAAAUUAUGGAAUUGCCUAAUGUGGCUAAAGUAUAUAUAUGACAAUUAAUUAUUUUGAAUAAUAAAGAUUUGAUAAAAAUAAGUGUGUCUUAUAUUAUAUUUAAUUAAUUUUAAACUAUUAAAAUAAAUUAAACAACCAUAGUAACCAUAUAAUAAAAAUUAAUUUUUUUCUUUAUAUAUUAUACUUUGAAUUUUUUUAAACGAGUAUAAAUUACUAAAACUGUUAAAAGUUUCACAUUCAAAUUUUAUGAUCCAUGGUUUAAAUUUUUGUUAUGACAUGAUACAAAUAAUUAAAAAAUCAUAUAAGUUGAAAGUCUCAUUUAAUAAAUAUUACAAUAAAAGAUAUAGGAAUAUAUGUAUAUAUAUAUAUAUAUAUAUAUAUUAAUCUCGAUAUUUAUUAAAUGACACUUCCUACUUAUACGAUUUUGUAAUCAUUUUUAUUUCAUAAAAAACUUAAACCAUGGAUCAAACAAAUUUUUAUGUGAGACUUUAAAAAAAAUAUAAUAUAUACCGAAAAAUUUAAAUUUUAAUUAUAUGGUUAAUUUGAUUUUUUAAUUUAUAUUUUAAUAAUUUAAAGUUAAACAUAAAUGAUAGAGGAUGCACUAAUUUGUAUCAAAUUUUUAUUAUUUUAAAGCAUUAAUUGUCAUAUAUAUUUUAACCACAUUAGAAAAUUUCGUAGUUUUUAUUUAAGAAAAUAAUUGAAAACAUUAAUAAUUAAUUUAUGGUUAGUUUAAUUAAAAUCUUAUUAUAUAUUUAGAUGGACCAAUCUAUUUUUCUAAAGAUUCUAAGAAUGAUUGUGGAGAUGACACGUGGCUACUUAAAAAGUUUCAAUGCUCCUCUUUUAAUAUAUAGGGGAUUACAUGAUGCGGUUUUGAUUAGGACGAUCACAGGCUUUACUACAUGACUAGGCAUAGGCAUACGGGUUGGAUUCGGGUCUUCGGGCUGGGUUUUUGUCUUUCUGGUCUUAAACAUUUAGAUCUAGAUAGGUACCUACAACUUUUGGGUCGGGUUCGGAUCGAUUCAGAUCUACAAUUAAAAUAACUGUAAAAUAAUUGUAAUUUUCGGGUAUAUUUCAGGUUUGGGUCGGUUCGGGUAUAUAAAAUCCUAAAAAGACCCAAAUUACCCAAACUAGAAUCCAAGAUCCCAAAAAUACUCGAAACCUAUAAAAAAAUACCCAAAACCCCUAAAAUAUUCAUAUACCCGAAAAUACCCAAAUUUUCGAAAUCUGAUCCAAAAACCUGAAAAUACCUAAAUUUUUUACUUGAACACCAGAAUUAGAUUUCUGAAAAUCAAAAAAUUUACCCGAAAGUGUAUAAAAAUAUACCGAAAUACUCAAAUAUAUCUAAUAUAUAUACAAUAAGUUUUGAGCAGUUCGUAUAUCCGAUCGGAUCUUGGAUAAAGCCUGAACCCAAACCGAGAUAUGCAGGUGUAAAGAAAGAUGACCCAACAUGUACUUUAGCAUAAUCCAAACCCCUAUUUGUAUUUUCGAGUUGGUUCCGGUUUGGAUUUUCAGAUUCAGAUAAAAUAUUCAGGCCUAUGCAUAACCUUAUGGUACUACAAAUUCAACAAUAAAUUGUAUUACACUCAGUUUAUGUCGAGAUCGAUUGAUAUUUUAGAAUAAAAGUAAUUUUCUAUAUUAAGAAAAAAAAAUUAAAAUCCUGAUUAAUACAUUUUAAUGGAUCGUUUUUGUAAACACUAUCUAUAGAGAAAAACAAUAGAUGAAGCUCUCCUAUAAAUAAGAGUAGUCUAUAAAUAAUACCACACACAUGCCUUUAAAGUCUUAAUCACUCCACACAUUGAACGAACAGCCCCACACACACAAUGGAACCAAAGCUGACACAUCUUUGCUAUUGCUUUCUACUUUUUCUUCCACUACUCUCUCAAUCCGCCAUAGCCAAUCCUUCAUCAUCGCCAAACCAUAGCAACAGUAUCAACUUCAUCGUAUCCUCAUGCCGCACCACGCGUUACCCUACUCUCUGCGUCAAAUGCCUCGCGGCUUUCGCCAGCAAAAUCAGCCGUAACGAAAACCGGUUAGCUCAAACCGCUCUAGCCGUUACUCUAGUCCGGGUUCGGUCCACGACGGCCUACGUAGCUAAGCUGACUAAAGCAAGAAGUGUCAAACGCAGAGAGUACUUAGCCGUGAAAGAUUGUGUGGAGAAUCUUGGAGAUGGCUUAACGAUGUUGGCUCAGUCGAUGAGGGAAAUGAAACGAGUGGGUCGAUCCGGUCGUGGUCAGCAAGAAUUCUUGUGGCGGCUGAGUAACGUUGAGACUUGGGUUAGCGCUGCUUUAACGGAUGAGACAACUUGUCUUGAUGGCUUUGAUGGGAAGUUUAUGGAUGGUGUGGUGAAAAUGGCGAUUAGAAGACGAGUGGUGCAUGUGGCUCGAGUUACCAGUAAUGCAUUGGCUCUUGUAAACCGGUUCGCGUCUCGUCAUAAAUCAUAGAUUCGAGUAAAAAAUCAAAAGAGUAUUCGGUCCUUAAUUAGUUUUUGUCAUAUCUUCCUUUUUCUUCUGUUUCGCUUUUGUUUCUUUAUGAUAGUUUGUAUUUAUUUGUAGUCUUGCGAUAUGUUUAUGCUUUUGUCAUGGUUUGCGUAGAGAUAACGGUUAUAUAUGUUGAGUUUAUGGAAAAAUGGCCACAAAUUAAGAGUAGUUUUGUUUACUUCUGGCAGAAAAUAUUCGAUAUUUAAAAUGCCGUUUGCUAAAACAUUUUCGUUUCCAAUGUUACGUAGUGGCAAAAAUGUCAUUUUAUAUCUAAUAUAUCGCAAUAUGUUCAAUUAAUAUUUGAUUUAUAUCACUGUACGAAAACCUACCUGAAUUCGAAAAUUUCAAAUAACAUACCUGUUAUUAAUGUUCCUGUUAUUAAUGUUUUUUGGUGAAAUCAUACACAAUUCGACACAUCAUAUGCUACCUCAUCUUAUUUUUCCAACGAGAAUACCACACGUGUACAAUUUUUUUAUUAAAAAAAAAGACAAAACAGUCAUUUUAUAAAAAACAAUUUAUUAGAAAAUGUAAAAUUUUAUAAAUUUAUAUUAUUUAGUUAAAUUAACAAAAACUAAUUAAACAAUAAAAUAUUAAUCUUAUGCAAGCGGUAUAUUUGUAAAUUUUAUGAUCCUAUCACAAUAUUGUCCUUAUAAAAGUUAUAUAUGUGUUUUAAUGAUUCAAAUGCAAUGCUAUUGGUUCUUCAUAAGUAUAUAUUUUUAUGAUUUUGUUAAAAAAUUUAGAUUUUACUUCGGGUGAUCCAAACUGAUCCUAUAACCCGAUGUGGAAGAAAACCGAUCCAAACCGAUGUUUAUCGAUCCAUACUUACAAAAAUAUAUGUAUGGGUCGUAGGACGGGUUACAAAAUAUAACCAAAAUCCGAAAACCCGAUAUGAACCUAACGGGUACCUGAACGCUAUAUUUAAAGAAUUUAUGAUGUAAAUUGACUAUAUAAGAUUUACAAAUAUAUCUCUCAUAUAAGAUUAAAAUUUAUUAUUUAAUUAUUUUUUGUUAUUUUUACUAAAUAUACAAAUUUAUAAAUUUUACAUUUUCUAAAAAAUAUUUUGGUUAUUUUUUUGGAAAACAAUUGUACACGUGGCAUCCUCAUUAGUAAAAUUAUAUGACUUAGCAUCCACGUCAGCAAACUUAGAUGACGUGGCGGCUAAAGUGAAGACCGAUGUAUAAUUUUGCCAAAAAAAUAAACAGUAGGUAUGUUAUUUUAAAUUUUUUGAAAAUUUAUGUAUGUUUUUGCACGGUGAUAUAAGUCGAAUAUGAAUUGAACAUAUUGCGAUAUGUUGGAUAUGAAUUGGCUGUUUUCCCGUUAUGUAAUACAAGAAGUUACUUUUCACUAAGUCUUACUCACUACCUUGGCAUUGAGGUCUUUAUACACAAAAAGGAAACAUAAGAGGAUUACUCAACAAUCCUACAAACUAGGACACGUAAUCGCACAACUAGGAAACAUAAUUGCACAAUUUUCUUUCGGAUCAAAUACAUAUUCAUAUUUGAGUUAACUAUUGGAAUAGGAAUUGUAACCUCAGUAAUCAAAUACAUAUACUUUCAGAUCUAUGCAGAAUGCAGAUAUUUUUUGGGGAUAUGCCUAAAACUAACCUAAAACUCUCCGGGUGCUGAGUCGUUGAGAUAAAGCCUGAACUCUAUUGGCUCGUCCUCCCGAGGAUAUAUACUUUCAAAUGAACAUAUAUGCCGGGAAUUGUAUAUUGUUGAAUCGUUCAAAUUAACUAUUUUUACCUUUUUGACCACCUCGAAUGGAGCUAAUUCUUACAACCGAAAGAGUUUCGUUAUGUUCACACGUUGCGCAUGAGCAUUUUAUAAAAUCUAAAUAGUCUUAUCUAUGAUGAGAAGGCAUUACUUCUUUCUAGAUAGGUACGUAAUUUUUAGCAUAUCGGGAGCAGGUGGGAAACUUUAUCAAUUGACUAAACAUUGAGUGCUCUUUUAGUUAAUAUAAACAAAAUUUCAAAUUACUAGUUUUCUGGAAAGGCAUAAUAAUUUGUAGAAGGUGAGUAGGUGACGAUUAGGUUAUCGCCACAUUUGCAAAACAUGCAGUUAUUUAAAAUAAUGUUUAGCAAUACUGCUUUCCUUGUCAGAAAAGCAUUUUAGUUCAAUAAACGAGGGCUAGGCAUAAAUAUUCAUUACUUGUUUUAUACAUGUUACUUUGACCUAUAUUGUUGAAUUUUGCUACUUAUAAAUACAAGAUAAAUAACAAACAUAAAAAAAAAGUUAAUGAUUCACUUUAAUUUUACUCGUUACUUAUUUUACGAUUAAAAAAUUGAUAAAUAAACCAUAAAAAUAAAAAUCCUAAACAUAUAUUUAUUUGUCGUAAAAAGUAAGCAAUACUUCAUAUCAAAAUAUAUGUAUUUUGUCUUUCCUCUUGCAAAUAUUUUAUUUGAAAUAAUUUUCAUGUUUUAAUUAAGUUGAGUAAAAAAAAAUUUCAUAACCUUCUCAAUAUUAUCCUCCAAACAAUUUUUAGAAACGUGGAAAUAUAUCUAAAUAAUUCAUAAGUAUUAGUAAAUAGAAAAUAAUCGAACGAAACAAAUAAUUUAUAAAUAACAUAUUUUUGGACAAGUAUCGGAAAGAGUAACAUCUUUAGACAAAGUAUUUGAAAACGGCUACAUAUUUUCGAAUAGUUAAAUAUAAAUAUAAAAAUUCAUUACUCGGCGAAAGUAAAUCUAAGUAUUAAAUAUACGGAAAAAACAAGUCCUCGACAAUAAACAACACAACUUUUGCUAACCAUCAAGUAGUCUCGAAGAAUAUUUAAAUCUGGUGAGUGUUAAAAAUCGGGAAAAUGGUCAAUUCUUCUAUAAACUAACAACUCCCGGUUUUUUAACACACGAACUUUGAUGCCAAGCCGAAACCCACACGAACAAAUUUAUUUUUUGAAUUACAUACACGAACUUUUGAUUUUAACCUAAUUGCCACAAACCGUAAACAGUGUUAUGUUAGCCGUCAACAGCUUUAAUCUCUCAUUUAAAUCUGGUUAAAUAAAGAGGAAAACAACUUUGUAUUGCUUUUCUUCUUCACUUAGGGAUUAAUUCAAUAUUAGGAUUUACGACAACAUAGCUUUCACGAUGACAGAGCAAAAAAGAAUUAUCAUUGUGAGAUGAGACUUCCAUAUUUCAAUUUACUUUUAGGAGAUAAUAGUCAUAGAAAAUAUAAAAAAAAGUCAUAGACUUCAGUGCAGAGAAGGCUUACAGUAUAUGCAUCAUUGGUUCCUUGUGGAAUAUAUAAAGACAUUAUUCAAGUGCUCGGGAGUGUCGGGAUUUUCGUGUGUUAAUCUCUUGCUUUCCGGUCCAGUGCGUGCAGAAAAGGGGUCUCUUGGUGUAUGUUACGUCUAUGUAAUGGUUGCUUCGAGGCUUUGAUUCUGCUCAUCCUUUCGUUUGCUCCGUUGCUCCUCCCUCGUCCUUUUCGUGCUUCUAGGCUCUGAGGCUUUCCUCGCCGCCAAUUCAGUCUGAGCUCUUCUCAUGCCGCUGCGAUAGCCAGUUCCUGAAAAGUAUGGUUUUGCAAUGGUUAUUGGCUUCUCUGUUGGCUCCUAUUCUCAUUGUUGAUGACUGUUUUCUUGUGACUGUUUUCUUGUAGAAUAUGGCCAUUAGUGAUGAGAAGCACUUAGGCUUUGGAUUGGUAAACUCCAUGGGAUGGGAUCGGGUCUCAGUUUUUGCCUCUGUUCUUUAGCUUCUCUGUUUCUGUUUUUCUUUUGUAUAGUUUGGUUACCUUAUUAAUGAAAACCUUUUCUUCAAAAAAAAAUAUAUUCAACUUCCACGAAAGCUUUCUCUCUCACAGAUUUCUCUGUUUCUACAACAAGAGAGCUUGAGAAUGGUUUAUCUUCAAAUUUUCCAUUCAUAGACAAACAACAACACAUAAUUGCCGCAAAACAAAAUAGAUCAUACCAGAAAAACAUUAAAAUCCAAAAGACAGCACAUAAAAAGCCUUAAAACAAUCCAAAAUAAUAAGUCAAUUUGAAAUACAUCCUAAUUCUGAAACAAUAAAGUAUGUUAGUCGACCACUUGACUUUGUGUUGGUUGACUUGAUCCUUCUACUUGUGCGACAUUCUUCUUCUUUGGUGGUCUUUGAACUGGGACUCCAAUAUUUUUGCACUUCCUUGCAUUAUGUCCACCUUCUCCACAUCGGCCACAAUGAAUGAUCCUUUUCUCCCUUGAAACCUUUGAAGGAGAUUGAUUCCUAACCUUAGUCUUUUUCUUACUUGGAGACUCGUUCCUUUCUUUUAUCCGCUUAGGAAUUUUCUUUCUUCCUCUUGAUGAUUCUGGUUCUGUUGGUGGUGGAAUAAUCUCUGAAUCUCCUGUUUUUUUCCAAAAGUUUAUCCCAUGGACAGCCUUAAUUGGUGUUUCAUACUGCUUUCUCCACGUCGAGGUGAGGUAACAAGCAGCCAUAUAAUCCUCUUGUUUGCGCUUCUUUGCAGAAAUGAAUUUCAGGGCAUGACGACAAGGCAAUCCCGGCAUCUCCCACUUUCGACAAGUGCAAGUACGAUCAACCAUUUUCGUUUUGUAUGAACUGUUUUUCUCUUUCACUUCAAAUACCUCAUAUCCGCAAGGAUAUAUAGUGCAAUGACGUAUUUUACGUUGCUCCUCGCUGACCUUUUCCAUUGCUUUUAGACUGAAUUUCCCUCUGUGAUUCAUUGCUUUCAUCUUCCUUGCCUCAAUGCGCAACAUAGCUCUUCUGCGUAUUGUUUCCAACAUUUCCACGAGUGGCAUUGAUCUAGCAGGGUCAACCGCAUGAUUAAAAGACUCAGAUAUGUUGUUGCUUACAUCAUCACAAGUCGAGGAUGGAGUAAAGAAGGCAAGGCUGCAAUUUUUGGAAUUCUUCAUCAUCAUCGAAUCAUAUACACUCAUGUCAUAUGCCUUCACCUCAUCCACCCUCUUGUUGUACUGCGCCAUGUUGUAGCUCUUGGAAUUUGCCUUUCAUGUCAGCUCUAUGCGGAUGUUUCUUCUUUAAGUUUGCGUAAAUAUGUCUUGCACACAUCCUGUGCUCAACCAUUGGCAAGAUAUUUGAUACUGCAUUAAGUAACCCCUGAAAAUAAAUAAAAACUUCAUUUUUAUCCUCAUACUAACAUAAAUAAGCUCUAAAAAUAAAGAAAAACUUUGAUAUUAUUACCUUUUGUCUAUCUGAUAUGAUAGUGAAGCCUUCACCAUCAUGGAGAUUCAGGUCCGUCUGCAAUUUCUCAAUAAACCAAACCCAAUUGUCUUCACUCUCGACGUCAACAACAGCCCACGCUAUAGGAAACAUUUGGUUAUUUGCAUCUCUGCCAACAGCUGCUAACAACUGACCCUUUGUUGUGCACUUGAGGAAGCAUGCUUCAAGACCAAAGAUCGGUCGACAGUGAGCACACCAAGUCUUCUUCAAUGCAGAAAAGCAAACGUAAAAUCUAUUGAAAACAUCUGAACCAUCAUCUCCGUUGAAUGUCUCGAGCUCUACCGUUGAAUCCUCAUUGGACCUAGUUUAAAACAAAUAAAUAUUAAGUUCAAAUAAAGACAAAACCUGACAUUUAUAAAUACAAAACAUGAAACACUUACUCUAACAACUCUAGCCGGUAAUCUUUAAGCCUUGAGAACUGCUGAUCAUUCUCCUCUUUGAUCAUUUCUAAAGCCCUUGUCUUUGCAUUUCUACACUGAUCUAUGGUCACCGUCAAUUCCCAACGCUUCUGAAUAUCAACCAAUAUCUCCUUUGGCAUAAUCUUGGGGUCGUCUCUAAGAUCAUCUUUGAACAACUUGGCAAUGACUUCUUGUAUAAUCAGCCUUGAGUACCCACUUUUACUGCAACUAUGAUCCUUCACAUACACUUUAACCAUCCAUUUUUGCAAUGGUGCUUCAUAGGAGCAGUAUAUCCUCCACAUACAAGCUUCUUCUCCUUCUUCUGUUUCACUAGCACAUUUGAGUUCAGAUUUGUCUUUAUCCCAACGGACAUACUUCACAUUCCAACCAUAUUUUAACACAUAAUCUACCAUCGCUUGCUUGAAAGCCUGUAAACUAUCAAAGGCUUGUUUUAACUGAAGCUCACCACUGCCUUUCUUGUAUGUGAAGUAACCAUUUCCUUCAUUAGCAUCUUGAUCAUCAUCUGAGCCGACAGGUGUAGCAAACAAAUCAACAUCUUCAUCUACAAAAUCCCUCACAUUUCUCUCAACUCUUGCUUCUUCAUAACAUGGAGACCUAUCUCUCUCAGUAUCUCUCUCAGUAUCUCUUUCAUACUCAUAUCUCUCUGCAUCUCUUUCAUUUUCUUCCAUCCCUGCCUCGUCUCUCUCUGUUUCACACUCCAAAAAUAUGUUGCUACUGCAAAAAUAAACAGCAGGCCAUCAAAAGGAGAGUAAAAUGACCUGAUUUUGAGAAUUUCAGAGAUAAACAAAGUUCACUUACCUCAUUCUCGAGCUUUGUUUGGUGCCAAUCCACCAAUUGCAUAAAACACGUCUCUAGCUAAUGAGAAUACCGAUUAGAAUCACCCUCAUUCUACAGAAAGUCUUUUCACUCUCUCUUUUCUGUUUUUGUCGUGAAACCUAAUUCUGAUUUUAUUCCCCAAGAAGAAGAAGACUAAAACGACGUGAUUUUUUUUUUGUUUGGCUUAACCAGAAUUAAAUGAGAAACUAAACCAAAUCAGACAUGUCAUUAAGCCGUUGACGGCUAACAUAACACCGUUUACGGUUUGUGGUAAUUAGGUUAAAAUCAUGUAACUCAAAGAAUAAAGUUGUUCGUGUGGGUUUCGGCUUGGCGUUAAAGUUCGUGCGUUAAAAAACCGGGAGUCGUUAGUUCAUGGAGGAAUUGGCCAUUUUCCAGUUAAAAAUCAAGAUUACUAAGAAAAUGCAUCAAAAAACUGCCGUAUAAUGGAUAAACAAAUCGUACAGAGUUCAGAUCACCAUAACGUGGAACGCAAGUGAAGGAUUAAAAGUGUUGAAACAAUUAGAGCGGAACAUAAUUAAAAGCCUCUAUGCAAAGUUCAACAGGAUACAAUACUAUAGGAGGAACAGCUUUAUGGACUUAAAACCUUGAACACAUACUCUGUAGAAAAUAUUCGAAGGAAGUAAACACAAAUAAGAUAAAGAGAACAAAUUUUGACCAAAAAAAAAAAGAAAAGAGAAAAAAUAAGAGAACACAACUCAAUAAUAACUCACAAAACAUGACCCAAAGCAGAUCAGAAACCAAGUUAUCCGAUACAACACCGUAGGAACUUGGAUAUAAAUUUGACUUUGAAUCCGGUUUCAGAAUAACCAAUCUACCGAACCUGAACAAUACCAGCACUAACCAGCUUCUGUAUCUUGUUCAUCACCAUUGGGUUCUUCAUAUGCUCUUGUGCCGCUUUUGGGUUCUCUUGGAAAUCAACCAGUACCUGCGAUAUUCAUUCCACAGAACUCUCAAACUCAGCCUGUGAGCUAUGAAUCGAUUUCAGAUACAAUUUUCACUUCUGUUUAUACCUGUCUCAUCACCGGAUCAGACAAUAUGUUCUGAACUUCUGGAUCUUGCAUCGCCUUUGCUUGUCUCUCCUUCAAUUCUUCUGGUGUCAGGUCACCGCGGUUCGCUUUGUUGAUCUGCUCCACACAUCUGAGUGAUAACAUAGCAAACAAUUUCAAUACACCGACUCAGAUUACAUGAAUUUAACAGUAGCAGACAAGCAACAGUUGCAAACCUUCUAACACCAUCGAGCAACUCCUGGUUCUUAGGAUCAUGCUUCAGCCCUUCUUGAUACGUCUCCAUGGCUUUGUCGUACUCCUUCAUGAAAAACUGAAUAGCUCCUUUCCGACUGUAUCCUUUGGUGAAGCUAGAGUCAAGCUCAAUGCAUUUCUCCGCAUCUUUCAAUCCCUCUGGUAAAGCUCCUAGCUUGGUGUAACAAGCAGCUCUGUUGCUGUACGCCUGCAGACCAGGAAAGAAAACACCCACUCAGAUUCAAUGUUUCCUUAUACAAGGUGCUUAGCUCAAGACGAAACUGAAAUGCUCUCACCCUCACGUCCUUUGGGUUUCUUUUGAUUGCUUCUGAAUAGUGCCUCACCGCCUCUGGAUACUUUUGCUCUUUAAAAAAUCCAUUACCUUCAUCCAAGGAGUGAUGUCCAAUGCUUUAUCCUUUAUAUCAAAUAACGACGUUGGUUGUUAAUCAAAGGUCAGUUACCUUUGUCACGCUCCUCCUCGGCUACCUUAGGAUCAAAGUACUCCUGUUGCUCCAGCUCUUUCUCAGCUUUCUCAGCAUCGUUUAGUUUCUUCAACGUAUCAGGAUUCCGAUGUUCUGUAAGCGCUUUUUGAAAAGUCUCGAUCGCAGGUUCAAAGUCCUUUGAGCAUUUCGCCAUCUUCACCAGCGCAGAACCUUUCCUAGUCAAAGCUUUUGCUAUCAUCUUGAAGUCAAAACGAAGCUCUCUGCCUCUCUCAACAGCCUUGUCACAGUCUUGAAUGCACUCCUCAUACUGACAUUCGAUUCGAAGAAAUUAGCCCUCAAAACGCCAAACACAAACACAUAAAACACGUCUACAUCCAGAUGAACUAUAACAGAACAAUUAAAAACUUCAAUCCAAAACAUCUUAAUCUCCAGCAAGAAGCAGAUCCAAGUUAUUAAAACUCAUCAAAAUGACAAAAAUGCACAACAACUAUCUAGUUCAUGAAAAUUAGAUUCCUUUCUUCCUCUAAAGAUACGAGCGUAAAGCCAAUUCCUCAGAAAAGAACACUUAACAGAGUAACACAAGGACAACAGCAGCAACAAACAAAACUGAACGUGUAAGGAAGUUAAAGCAAGUACCUUUCCCAUCUCAAGAUAAACGGCAGCACGGUUCGUGAGAUAGGAAAUGUCCUCAUCGUCAAGCUCCAUCGCCUUACUAUAAUGUUCAAUAGCCUUCUCAAACUCCUUCUUCUUGUAGGCAGCGUUUCCUUGCUCUUUCUCCUUCUUCGCCUCCUCCUUCCUCUCUUUCUUCUCCCUCUCCUCCUCCGUCAACUCCAUAGGCUCCGGCUCCGGCUCAGGCUCCGGUUCAACCUUCUUCACCGGCUCAGCCUCUUUCAUCUCCGUGUCUUCACCCUUCGCACCACCAAACUUAACACUCAACAAAACACCCAACGCCUGCAUCACUCUCUUAUCCUUCAUGUACAAAUUAAGAUUAUUAGGGUUCUUCUGAAUCUCCUGCAUCGUCUUCACGAAAUCAGGCUGCUGCAAAUAAACCCUAGUCCCCGGAUCCGCCGUCAGCUUCGCCCACAUCUCCUCCCCUUGGAACGCCUCAACGAACGGAUUCGACGAUGGCCCGCGAGGUCUCGACGCGUCGGCUAACCCCGACUUCAACGUCUCGUUACUCGGAUCAACCUCUAAGCCUUUCUUAUACGCAUCGGCUGCUUCUUUGUACUGAGAUAGGCCCAUGUAUGCCGCGCCUAAUCGGCUGUACCCUUUGGCCCAGUCCGGUUUGAGCUCUAUGGUUUUCUUGGCGUCGGAUAGUGCUUCGGCGUAGCGGUGGAGGGAUGCGUAGGCGGCGGAUCGGUUCGAGUAGAGGAUGUGGUUGGUUGGGGAGAGGUUGAUUGCUUCGGUGAAGUGGGUGAUUGCGGCGGCGUAAUCGCCGGAGGAGAAGGCGGCGUUUCCUUUUGAUUUUGCUUCUUCUGCCAUUGACGAUGGAAUCGAAUGCUAUUAGUGUUGUGUGGCAUCUUCGAUGUUGGCGAAAGCUUAAAAAGAGAGAGGAGAACUGAGUAUGGUGAGCGACCGGGAGAGACGACGAGAGGGUUCUCGAAAUUUCGAUUUGUUUUUCUCCCUGUUCCGGAACACGGUAGGCGCUACUCGGGCGGUCGGGUUGGGCCUAGCGCCUAAAAAGAAAAUCGGGGAUUAAUCGGAAAUUAUGCGGGACAGAAUUUUUAGAUGGUUUACUAUGUUAUAAAACAUGUUAAUCUUCAACUGUGUAUAACAUUAAUACAUUUUCAUGUUUAAGAUUGUAUAAAACACACAAAUAGAAUAUAUAAACUUAAUAUAGUGUAAUUUUCAUCAAAAUUAUGAAUAUAAAUGAUAUUUAUAAAAUUUUAGAUCAAAUAAACAAAUAAAAAUAUUAUUUAAACCUAUUUGGCAUAAACCGGAGCGGAAAAAUGACGCGUAGCGCCUAAACGGCCGAUUUUUAGAAUCGGGGUUUUUCUGACCUGACCUUGGAACGCAUAGCUCCAGGGAGAGGUCAAACCUCUGACCUUGGGGUUAACAGCCACAUGCUCUAACCAACUGAGCUACUGAAGCUUUUAAAAUAUUGUAAAUCUUUCACGUAUAUUACUCAAUAAUAUGCGUUAGGGAGGUGUUGAGGCGCGCAACAUUGUUCUGAAGCGUCUUGAGGUAGGAAAGAGCGCAUAGUAAACACACUUGUUAGUUUGAUAUGGCCUAUAAAAUUAUAGUUUUGAUUCGUUUAACUCGUUACCUUAUAUAUUUUACUAUUUUAAUAAUUAUCAUAGUAGCAUACAUGUUUAUUUUAUUGUAUAGUUUGAAUCUUUUGGCUGAGAAUACCACAUCUAUACAUCUAAUUUCAUACCGUUUUUAUGGUUGAUAUUGUGAUAUUGUGAUAUUGGAUUACCAAUCAAACUUUUCAUAUGUUUCAGUAAAUGAAAUAGCAUUCACACUGAUUUUGUAUUAAGUAUAGCUGAACGACUAGUAAUAUUCACACACACACACACACAAAACUGGAAAGAAUGUCAAAUUAUAGAAUCUUGCAAGUCCUUUUCCUGCGACAAUGAUCCCAUGCGGCGGCGAUCCUCAUUUGAACUUUCUCAAAAUCAUAAACCCGACACGGAAUCGUGAUUCGACCCGGGUAAUCGAACCCAUGAACCAGCUCUGCUUGCUCCAACAACUCUCCGAACAAUGGGUAAUUAAAGUAGAUCAACGGCACCACAACCCGCCGCGUGUCAGCGUCUGAUUCGCCGACGUGAACCACCAGAUGUCCUUUCGGAACAACCUUCAUCAACGGAGACGCGUUCGGAUCCUUACCCAGUCGGAUCUUGCUAUUACCCGAAAUCUUCUCGCCACCGCAUAAUCUCUUGGCUCCACGGCUUAGACACCGUGCUAAUCAGCGGAUUCCGGCGAUCGGGUUUGUGAUUCGGGUCCUGCAUUGACGUUUAUUCGUUUGAGUUCUUCUGCAUCGAAUCCAUUUGAAGAUCUUGACAAAUCUGUGUCCCAUUUUGAAACCUAUGACUCUCUCCAUGCCUGUUCUGUCAGAUACCGAUUAAACGAAUGUGAAGAAAGUAGAGGCUUUUAGACAAAACAAUGAGAUGGGUUUAUCUUAAAUCGUAUUUCAAGAAAUGGGUUUGAUUAAGUUUUUGUUCUCUCUGUUUUUUUAAAAAAAGUUGGAGAAGACUGUUUGGGUACGAGAAGGAAGGGAAACCUCUUAUAUGGCUUUGAGAGCUGCGGCCUAUGCGAUGGUGGUAGAAUAAGUGUGCGUGCACUUUUUAAUGUACACUUCUGCACAUCAAGUCAUUGAUAGCUUAUAGCUUAGUUCUCCAAGUCUUUUGUUUUGGUUAAAUUUUUAUUUUUAUUUUAAACAAGUUCUUAAGAAUUGGUAGUACUGUAUUUCCGUAUUUUUUUUCUCAGGUAGAUAUUUAGAAAUGUCAAAUUUCUUCCAUUUUAUUCUUCUAAUUGUGCAACCAUUUGCAUUCGUAGAUCCGUAGUUUUCAUUUUUUCAAGUAAAGUUACAAAAAGUUGAAAUCUUGUAACAAAAAAUUACGAAAUUUUCAUUUUAUCAUUUUCAGAACAAAAAAAAUGAAUAUCUUGUCUUUUCUAAUUGCUUUUCCAUAUAAGACGAUAGUUUAAGGAUCCGAAACCAGAAGAGAAAUUACAUGAAUCUUGCCUAUCACAAUGGAGAUCUACUAUAUCGUUUAACUUGACAAUUUGUAAAGAUAUUUUACCACUUAAUUAUCCCAAAGAAAAUUAGUUAUUUAAAUUUAUUUUUCUGAUAACUUAGUGAUUGUGGCAUAUGUAACAACUAAUUGGAACUUGGAAGCAUCUGCGAUGAUUCGAUUUGAUUUUGUUAGUGUUUAUGAUCUAAGGAAGAAGAUGAAGUUGUAACAAAAUUUUCUCAUUUCCGUUAAUCGUAAAAGUGUACAACAUUAAGCUUAUAUAGUGAGUUUGUCACCAGUUUACAAGAAAUAAUAAACCUGAGACUAAACCAUAUUAAACUGAUAUUGUUUACACUAAUAUUCUCCCUCAAGAUGGCAAAUAGAUAGACUUUAAAGCCAUCUUUCCCACCAAUGAGUAAAACUGAGGAGAGAACAAAUGUUUAGUGAAAAUGUCAGCCACUUGAUUGUUGGUGCGAACAUGAAGAAGCUUGAUGAAGCCUCAGAUAACAUGUUCUCUAACUUGAUGACAGUCUAGCUCAAUAUGCUUCGUGCGCUCGUGAAAAACCGGGUUGCUAGCAAUGUGUAUAGCAGCCGUUGAAUCACAGUAGAACGCCACCGGACCAUGUUGAGGAGAUUGAAGUUCAGCCAACAAUUUACGCAACCAAAUGACUUUGCGUGAACCAUACUCCAUUGCUCUAUACUCAGACUCAGCCGAAGAAUGAGAUACAGUCUGUUGUUUCUUAGACUUCCAAGAUAUCAAGGCAUUACCAAGAAACAUGCAGUAUCCAGAGGUGGAGCGACAAGAGUCUAAGCAAGAAGCCCAGUCUGCAUCUGAAAAUGCCUUGAGAACUACGUCAGACUCAACACAAUAAAAAGACCAAGUCCACUAGUGCCUUUCAAGUAAUGAAGAACUCUCAGAGCCGCUUGAUGAUGAGACUUCUUCGGAGCCGAUGUGAAUUGACAGGGUUUGUUCACAGCGAAAGUGAUGUCCGGUCUUGUAAUUGCCAAAUACAUCAGGCGUCCAACCAGACUUCUAUAUGCAGAAGGAUCCUCAAGCAAGGGUUUGGAAUCCAUACAAAGUUUAGCAUUCGGAUCCAUUGGAACAAGAGAUGGUUUACAUGACAAAAGCUCGUGUCUUCCAAUAAUCCCAAUGUAUAUUUGCGUUGACAAACAGAGAUGCCUCUGUCAGAGUGUGCGACUUUAAGACCAAGAAAAUACUUCAAAGCACCAAGGUCACGAAGUUUAAAUGCAGCACUCAGAUCAAGUUUCAACUGAUCAACAUCUUUAUCAUCAUUGCUCGCGAUGAUUAUGUCAUCAACAUAAACCAAAGCAGCUGUAUACACGCCUUGAAGAUUACGAAUUAACAAGGUGUGAUCAACAUUAGAUUGCUUGAAGCCAAGAUCAAGGAGUGUGCCACUAAACUUUAGGAACCGCUGUCUUGAAGCUUGCUUCAACCCAUAGAGACUUUUGUAAUCUAUGACUGCAUUAGGUGGCAAAUGUUCCCCCUUCUUUGGUGUAUAACCUGGAGGUAAUGUCAUGUAGAUCUCUUCAUCUAAGUCUCCAUUCAAGAAGGCGUUAGAAAUAUCCAAUUGUGUAAGACUCCACUUCUUUGCAGCAGAUACAGAAAGGAGAGUCUUAACAGUGGUCAUUUUCGCAACUGGUGAAAAGGUUUCAGCAAAAUCUAUACCUUCUUCUUGCGUGUAGCCUUUGGCCACUAGACGAGCCUUGUACCUCUCUAUUAUUCCAUCAGGAUUGAUCUUGAUUUUGUAAACCCAUUUGCAUCUAAUGGCAUGCUUUCCUGGUGGUAGAGAACAAACCGUCCAAGUGUUUGUGCUUUCCAGCGCUAGAAGUUCCUCAUUCAUAGCUUUCAAACACUCAUCAAAGUGUUUAGCUUGAGUAAAACUUGUAGGUUCUAGAUAUAGAGCAACAUCACAUAUAUAUGUUUUGUAUUCGUCAGACAAACUUUCAUAGGACAUGUAGGAUGAGAGUGGAUAUGGAAUCUCAGUAUCACUCUCAGCUACAUUGCAAUAGUUGUCCUGAAGAUGUGGUGGAAGCUUAGAGAUCCUCUUGCCUUCAGCAACACGUUUGCCUUUAGCCUUAUCAGAAUGAGAAGAUCCUAUUUCAGCAACACGUUUUCCCUUAGCUUUAUCAGAGUUAGAAGAUCCCUCUGGUACUAACUGUUCAACAUUCUCUGUUAGUGGAGCAGGAAUAGCUCCCGGGGUUGGAGAAGAAUCAGAAGUAUGGUCUGAGACAUUCUUUGUUUCCGGAACAGAGGAGAAAAUAUCUUCAUAUGUGUCAGUUGUGGUCUUCGCGAACAGAAAGAUCUCCUCAUUAAAUGUGACAUUUCGAGACAUAUGCACUUUAUUAGAUUCCAAAUCCAGAAGCCUGUAACCUUUGUAGCCUGAAGGAUACCCCAAAAACACACACGGUUUGGAACGAGGCUGAAACUUGUGUCUAUUCUUCGGUGAGGUUGAACAAUAAGCUAGACAACCAAACACCUUGAGGCCAUCAUAAUCAACUUUCUUCUUCGUAAGUACUUCAUAGGGAAACUUGUCUUUAAGACGAGGAGUAGGAAUUAUGUUGAUUAUGAAUACUGCAGUGAGAAUACAGUCACCCCAAAGCUCAAGUGGAGUGUGAGACUGGAACAUCAGAGCACGCGCAACGUUCAAUAUGUGUUGAUGUUUCCUUUCCACCAAUGAGUUUUGUUCAGGAGUUUAUGGACAUGAAUGAUAAGCCACAAUGCCUUUCUUCUUAUAGAGAUCAAUAAACUUCAACUCAGGAGCGUUAUCUGAUCAUACUGUCUUGAUAGAGGUCUUGUAUUGUGUUUCAAUCAUUUGAAUGAACUUGGGAAACACUGACAAAACCUCAUCCUUGGUGCGAAGAAGAUAACUCCAAGUCACACGUGUGUGAUCAUCAACAAUGGUCAGAAAGUAUCUGAAUCCCUCAGCUGUAGGCACAUAAAACGGUCCCUAGAUGUCUAUGUGUAAGAGAUCAAAGGCAUUAUCGCAGAUAUGAUUCUUAGAUUGAUACAUGAGAUGUUUUUGUUUUGUUAGUGGGCAUAUGGCUCAGUGAAAAGAUUAUUUAUUCCUUUUUUUGUAGCCAAGAACAUCUAUAACAUAGUUUGUUUUUGAAACAGAUGGAUGACCUAAACGAUUGUGCCACAAGUUAGCAUCAAUCAUAACGUUUGAACAAGAAGCAAACGACUGUUCAAGUAUCUCUGAUCCUGCUAUAUCCACUGCAUCCAGUACAUAUAAGUUGGAGAUACGAUCAGCCAUCCCAAUCAUCAAUCCCUUGAUAUGAACCUGUAUCAUACAAGCAUCCAGAUCAAAUAGGACUCUAUAACCCAAAUCUUUAGUGAGCUGGCUUACGCUCAUGAGAUUCAAUCUAAAGUCUGGAAGAUAUAGAACAUUCUGUAGAAUCAAGGAGUCAUUAAGAUGUAUAGUGCCAAUUCCGGUAAUCUUAACUCAAAGACAAGUCGGAAGAGUCACAGAAGUAUUAAUAGAUCAGUGAAAUCAGUAAACAAAUCUCUAUCAUGAGCCACAUGAUGAGUAGCUCCACUGUCUAUUACCCAUGAAUCUGGACAUAAGGCAUUCCUUGUUUCCCUCAACAUGCCUACAAAUCACAAUGCGGAGGAGGAAAAUGACAUACCAGGCAAAGCAGUGAUCAUUCCACCAAAAGAUGAUGAAGACGCAAUGCAAUUCACUUGAGCUGGUUAAGUUUUCAGCUGAGAGUUGAAAUAUGCAAUGACACCUUCAAUCUGAUCCUUGGUGAGGUUAUUAACAACAUUAGAGACCGAGUCAACAAAUCCAACUUGAGCAACAAUCGGUUUAGAAGAGUUGUUGUAUUUUGGAUUGGAUGAGCUUUUGUCAGUUUGUUGCUUUCCUUUGUGCUUGAAGCCAACAUGGUAACCAUGAAUUUUAUAGCAAGUGUCCACAGUGUGACCAUUAUAGCCACAAUGAGCACAUACUGGUCUGUUCUGUUUCGCUGGGAAUGAAGUCUGAGCUGCGUUGAUAAGAGGCACAGACUGGACAUGAGCAGUAACUUGAAAUGCGGUAGCAUUUAGCACUGGAGAAAUGUUCCUCUAAUUGAAGUCCUGAUCCAAAAGAGUGUAGAUCUCAGAGAGCUCCGGAACAUUCUUCUUCAUGAUGAUUUGACUCCUGAUCACAGAAUAUGAGUCAUUUAAACCAGCUAAGAACUUGAUGACUUUAGCGUGAUCUGCCUUCGUUUCUGUAGCCUUGCAGCAAUCACAAUGGCGACAAGUAUUGACACAGUUAGCACCAUCUAGCUCAUCCCAGAGAGUCUUAAGAGUGGUGUAGUAUGUAGCCAAAUCCAUUGAGCCUUGCUGGAGGGACCAAAUCUGUUGAGAUAACUGAUAAGAUCUUGGAAGAUUUGUGAUGUGAAAACGAGUUUUCAAAUCUCUUCAGCGUCAUUGAAACGAAGAAUGCUCUUGUAGAUCUGCUUAGAAACCGUAUUGAGAAUCCAAGAUUUGACCAUCGAAUUACAUCUAGACCAGAUUCGAAAUUGAUGAUGUGAUUCAAGAGGCCCAGCAGUAGAUCCAUCAAUGAAUGCUAACUUAUUCUUAGCAUCUAAAGCAAUCUUCAUAGCACUACACCAGUUAUCAUAAUUGGUUCCAUCUAACACCUCAGAUAUGAGAGAUAGACCUGGAUUAUCGCCAUUCGUAAGGUGGAAUGGUGAAUGAAUGCUAUCCGAUGAAAGUUCUGCGAUGAUCGGAGGAUCGGGAGACGGCGGAGUCGAAUUUUCCGGAACUGGAGUUCGACGAGCUGCCGAUUGAGUUUGACAAACACCGCGACGUGAUGAUCGGCGAAGAACAAUCAUCGUUUCGUGAUUUGAUUUGAAUCUUGGUGGAAUAGCCAAGUUUUUCGAUCACGAAAAAAAGAAAGAACGAUCAAGAGAAUCAUCGAUUGAACGAGGUCAACGAAAGAGAAGAAAGAAACGGAUCGGUUGAGGUUUACGCCUCAACGCUUUGAUACCAUGUUAGUGUUUAUGAUCUGAUGUUAGUGUUUAUGAUCUGAGGAAGAAGAUGAAGUUGUACCAAACUUUUCUCAUUUCUGUUAAUCGUAAAAGUGUACAACAUCAACCUUAUAUAGUGAGCUUGUCACCGGUUUACAAGAAAUAAUAAACCUGAGACUAAACCAUUAAACCGAUAUUAUUUACACUAAUAGAUUUCUUAGUAAUAUACUCCCCAUUUUAGGUUUUGUAUGUAGUUUCUUCCCCAUUUUAGGUUUUGUAUGUAGUUUCUUCUGAACGGUAGUUAUUAAUUAAUGAAGAUUUGUUUGCUUUGUUUAUUAUAGUUAAGUCGAAAUUAAUAAUAGUUUCGAAAAGACAACUUGGAACAACGCAUCUAUAGAUAAAUGUUAUAGAGAUAUAGUUAGUGGAGAGAUUACAUAAAUUAAUUUCACAAUCUAUUUAAAAAGCAAUUAUAAAUUGAUACACAUAAAACCUUAACUUGAAAAAGAAGACUAAUAAAGAAGAGGUUUGAUGAAGGCAAACGGCAUGUACCUUUGUGGGUGGGAGUCGUGGGACAGAGAGUGGGAUUUGGUCGACACGGCACGUCCGAUCUUUGUAACAUGCCCCGAUUCACCGAAAGUGCUUCGUUCCGUUUCAGAAUUAUUGUGUUGUAUAACUCUUAUAUUAUUUGUUGGUAUAACAUAUUUUGUUCUGAGAAUUAAAAUUUAGUUAGAUAAACUACAAAACAUGCAUUUAUUUAUAAUAUAUACGCAUGAUGUUUUGUCAAAUUGAUGCCUUCUUUAAACAACGCCAACAAUUGAAGUUUUGGGAUGACUGCACUUUUUUACCAGAAGUUUUGCGAUAUAGUUAAGGAGGAUUUAACUCUUAUGGUUAAUAAAUUUCUUUUUGAAGGGAAUAUAGCCAAUGGUCUGAAUGAUACAAAUAUAUGUCCUAUCCCAAAGACAACUAAGCCUAAUGAUAUGGCUCAAUUCAGACCCAUAAGCUUGUGUAAUGUCAGUUACAAGAUCGUCUCUAAGGUCUUAUGCCAGAGACUAAAGAAAGUCUUGCCAGGAUUGAUAUCAGAAACCCAGUCAGCCUUUGUUGAUGGAAGACAGAUUUUUCAGAUAAUAUCAUGAUUGCUCAAGAAAUGUUUCAUGUCCUGCGAACUAAACCGAGUGGACGUUAUAAAAGGAUGGUCAUCAAAGACAUAUAUGAGUAAAACAUAUGAUAGGAUGGAAUGGUCGUUUAUUGAAGCUGUGAUGCGAAAGAUGGGAUUCUCUGAAACAUGGAUCACCUGGAUUAUGAGGUGCAUUACUUCGGUAAAAUAUAAAGUUCUUAUGAAUGGGCAGCCAAGAGGAAAUAUUGUUCCAGGUAGAGGCCUGCGUCAAGGAGAUCCUUUGUCUCCUUUCAUUUUUAUUCUGUGCACGGAAGCGCUCGUUAGCCUUCUCAAUCAUGCAGAGAACCAAGGGAAGAUAACGGGGAUGCGCGUCACACGCACAUGUCCUUUGGUA
This 21841-nucleotide long non-coding RNA is filed under the name Brassica napus (rape). RNAcentral describes it as "long non-coding RNA (BNAP_LNC011833)". Lineage: Eukaryota; Viridiplantae; Streptophyta; Magnoliopsida; Brassicales; Brassicaceae. The record is from RNAcentral.